GGGGAUAUAGCUCAGUGGUAGAGCGCUUGCCUAGGAAGCUCAAGGCCCUGGGUUCGGUCCCCAGCUCCG
This 69-nucleotide transfer RNA is filed under the name Rattus norvegicus (Norway rat). It matches the Rfam family "tRNA". Rfam says of the family: Transfer RNA (tRNA) molecules are approximately 80 nucleotides in length. Their secondary structure includes four short double-helical elements and three loops (D, anti-codon, and T loops). Further hydrogen bonds mediate the characteristic L-shaped molecular structure. tRNAs have two regions of fundamental functional importance: the anti-codon, which is responsible for specific mRNA codon recognition, and the 3' end, to which the tRNAs corresponding amino acid is attached (by aminoacyl-tRNA synthetases). tRNAs cope with the degeneracy of the genetic code in two manners: having more than one tRNA (with a specific anti-codon) for a particular amino acid; and 'wobble' base-pairing, i.e. permitting non-standard base-pairing at the 3rd anti-codon position. The record is from Rfam by way of RNAcentral. Lineage: Eukaryota; Metazoa; Chordata; Mammalia; Rodentia; Muridae.